This 379-nucleotide unclassified non-coding RNA is filed under the name uncultured bacterium. RNAcentral's name for it is "contains 16S-23S intergenic spacer region". The record is from RNAcentral.
UCGCGGCUUAACACCGGCAGUCCCCUUAGAGUGCCCAACUUAAUGAUGGCAACUAAGGGCGAGGGUUGCGCUCGUUGCGGGACUUAACCCAACACCUCACGGCACGAGCUGACGACAGCCAUGCAGCAUCUGUGCACGCUCCCUUGCGGGUCAUCACCCUUUCGGGCUCUUACCACGUGCAUGUCAAGCCCAGGUAAGGUUCUUCGCGUUGCGUCGAAUUAAACCACACGCUCCGCUGCUUGUGCGGGCCCCCGUCAAUUUCUUUGAGUUUUAAUCUUGCGACCGUACUUCCCAGGCGGCGUAUUUAACGCGUUGGCUACGCCACAAAAGGGGUCGAUUCCUUUUACAGCAAAUACGCACCGUUUACGGCUAGGACUAC